Molecule: long non-coding RNA, 853 nt
Filed under: Physcomitrium patens
Lineage: Eukaryota; Viridiplantae; Streptophyta; Bryopsida; Funariales; Funariaceae
Description: long non-coding RNA (PPAT_LNC011107)
Source: RNAcentral
CGAAACCAUCAUGGAAGGCAAUUGUGGAGAGGGAAAUGAAGGGUUCGAAGCUAAAAGCCCUUCUGGCGGCUCAAUUGCCCAAGGAGACCAGUCCUUUCUCGGAGUAUCUAGAGAUCCAGAUGGAAAACCAGAGCAGGAAUGCUGUGAGUGGUACAAUUUGGUCAACGGAGAAGAAUGUAAACUUGACGCGCAGUCCAGCGAAACGUGAGGUAUCCUUGUUGAAAUGAUUUUAUGUAAUUCUCUGUAUUUCUUAGAUGUGUUCUACGAACUUGUAAUGAACUGAGAGGUUUGCAGGUAGGGUCCAUGUGUUGUUUAUUCUAGAGUGUGGUGCAUGGAUUUUCUGUAUCUUGCCGUGUUAUUUUAUCUAGCUCGAACGGAAGCAAUAAUUGCCGUUUGAGCUGCCGCACUCAAGUAGGAUAUUCUGGCAUGGAUGUGAUUGAGAUUAUAGCUUUGAGAAGAACGACGAUAUCAUCUGCUCUGAAACAGGUUGCGCCUACAGAGGGGCAGCAUGAAACGGGUGAAGUACUUAGGAGUGCUCAGGUGCCUAGGAAACUAAAUGAGGUGCUUCUUGAUCUCCACGCCCCUGCUGGUGCACUUUAUUGCAACAUUGCCCCAGUUUGAAGUAUAUAAGUGAUCAAUGCAGUGCAGGGUCAGCAAUUAAGCGGUCUUCUCCAGUCCAAAGCAGAGUGCAGACAAGGAGAGACGUGCUUUUCAAGGAAGACUUUGUAUUCUUGAGUCCAGAGCAUGUCUUAGAUAAACAUGUAGUAAAUCCUGUCCAGAGCAUGUCUUAGAUAAAUUCCUUCUCUUUUUCCACUAUCCAUAUUGACUGAUUUUUUCUGUAUAGUAGGGGGAC